GAGAAUGCCAAGGUCUACUCAACAGCUGAAGAGAGACUGCAGUACCAACAGCACUUCUGUUCAUGGGUCUAAGUCACAGUAGUGAGAGAGAAAACACCAUGGACCUUAUCCUGCUUGUCAUGGCUGCAGAAGGCAUGCUGGAUAUGCUAUGAAGGUUACUCUAGCAAAAUACUGAAGGAGAUGUACCACUACAGGCUGAGCAACCACCAGACACCAAGAUUAGGUAAAUGGUGUCUGAAAUCCAACUCAAGGUCUUCUGAGCAAGCCACAGGCUCUAGUGAGGGACUGCAUCACCAGGGAAAAGGACACCAGAGACGUCAUUAUGGAGUAGAGAAAAACAAACGCGUUAGGUUAUCUUUGAAGCUUUC
Long non-coding RNA from Eptesicus fuscus (big brown bat), 368 nucleotides. RefSeq lists it as uncharacterized. Lineage: Eukaryota; Metazoa; Chordata; Mammalia; Chiroptera; Vespertilionidae. The transcript has 3 exons. The record is from RefSeq and is a predicted model, not a curated record.